UGAAGCUUCUUACUGUUAAGACAAUUUCUCAUGAGUCUGGUGAGCACUCUGCACAAGGAAAAACCAAGAACUGACAGCUUGAGGAAGUCUCCCCACACCUAAGCAAUAAUUAUGCUUAAUCUUCAGCUUCCAUGCUCCAAGGGGGAAAUGAGAAAGUCCUGCAGAAUCAAUCCCGACUUCCACACCUGCUGCUGGCCUGUACACCAGUCGUCAGUCCCAGUAAAAUGAUGUCC
RNAcentral lists this long non-coding RNA (233 nucleotides) under Piliocolobus tephrosceles (Ugandan red Colobus). RNAcentral describes it as "lncRNA (ENSPTEG00000036695.1)". The record is from RNAcentral. Lineage: Eukaryota; Metazoa; Chordata; Mammalia; Primates; Cercopithecidae.